CGGGGUGAGUAACGCGUGGGUAACCUGCCUCAUACAGGGGGAUAACAGUUAGAAAUGGCUGCUAAUACCGCAUAAGACCACAGUACUGCAUGGUACAGUGGUAAAAACUCCGGUGGUAUGAGAUGGACCCGCGUCUGAUUAGGUAGUUGGUGAGGUAACGGCCCACCAAGCCGACGAUCAGUAGCCGACCUGAGAGGGUGACCGGCCACAUUGGGACUGAGACACGGCCCAG
Molecule: ribosomal RNA, 232 nt
Filed under: uncultured bacterium
Lineage: Bacteria
Description: partial 16S ribosomal RNA
Rfam family: Bacterial small subunit ribosomal RNA
Source: RNAcentral